UACGUAGGGUGCGAGCGUUAAUCGGAAUUACUGGGCGUAAAGUGUGCGCAGGCGGCCGCGCAAGUCGAGUGUGAAAGCCCCGAGCUUAACUUGGGAAUUGCGCUCGAAACUACGUGGCUGGAGUGUGGCAGAGGAAGGUGGAAUUCCACGUGUAGCGGUGAAAUGCGUAGAUAUUGACAGGAACACCGGUGGCGUAAGCGGCUAUCUGGACCGACAUUGACGCUGAGGCACGAAAGCGUGGGGAUCAAACAGG
This 253-nucleotide ribosomal RNA is filed under the name uncultured prokaryote. RNAcentral describes it as "partial 16S ribosomal RNA". It matches the Rfam family "Bacterial small subunit ribosomal RNA", at positions 524 to 776 of the family's 1533-position model. The record is from RNAcentral.